RNAcentral lists this transfer RNA (75 nucleotides) under Bacteriophage sp. RNAcentral describes it as "tRNA-Met". It matches the Rfam family "tRNA". From Rfam's summary of the family: Transfer RNA (tRNA) molecules are approximately 80 nucleotides in length. Their secondary structure includes four short double-helical elements and three loops (D, anti-codon, and T loops). Further hydrogen bonds mediate the characteristic L-shaped molecular structure. tRNAs have two regions of fundamental functional importance: the anti-codon, which is responsible for specific mRNA codon recognition, and the 3' end, to which the tRNAs corresponding amino acid is attached (by aminoacyl-tRNA synthetases). tRNAs cope with the degeneracy of the genetic code in two manners: having more than one tRNA (with a specific anti-codon) for a particular amino acid; and 'wobble' base-pairing, i.e. permitting non-standard base-pairing at the 3rd anti-codon position. The record is from RNAcentral.
GCUGGCGAGUGAAACGGAUUAUCACGCAUGACUCAUUCUCAUGAGAUAACAGGUUCGACUCCUGUGCUUCAGCGA